Molecule: non-coding RNA, 3072 nt
Organism: Gasterosteus aculeatus aculeatus (three-spined stickleback)
Lineage: Eukaryota; Metazoa; Chordata; Actinopteri; Perciformes; Gasterosteidae
Source: RefSeq, a predicted model, not a curated record
ACCUGAGGACGGCGAGACGAGACAUCGUCAGAAACAAAAAUCGGAAAUAUCGACGGCUUCCCUGCCGGCCCGGCGCUCCGAGGGCGACGAGGCCGACGGGCGAUUCAGGCCGAAGCCACGGCGGAAUUACUGAGCCACUACGAAGGCUGAUUGAGGGUAAUAAAGUGGUAACGACAAUCGGAGGUGCAUAAAGGAGACACUAAACAAACAGUGACAACAUGAAGCAGCCAACACAGCUCCGGAUCAGGACGCGAUCAUCGUGUACUAAACGGUCUCCUAAAAGCCUUAUCUCCGUUUAUAUCACUAGAAUCACAAAAACAACCCAGCGUUUUAAACCACAUUGUGGAGACAAAAAAAAAAAGCAAGUCUUCCAAAACCGCUACAGCGUCGCAGUAUUUGUUCAACCAACAACAUGAUCUAGUCUUUUGGAAUCAGUGACUGGAAACGAUGAAAGGCUCGUUAAAAUCCUUCGUUGUUUCAGGAAUCUGCGUAAGAAGUUAUUAGGAAAUCACAACCCGAUGUGAUCAAAAACUUUCAGGCAUGAAAUCACGCGAGGGAGCGACUGAAAAAAGGGAAAAUGAGGAAACUCUCACAGAGAACAGAGGGCGGCGACAGCAACGUGUACUUCCUUUGGCCUUAUCUCACCGAAUACCUGUGUGUUUACACCCAGGCGGCUGCAGACACGCAGGGCCAGAAAGACCAGUCCACCGACAAAAGGGACACUUCAAAACAGCAGACGGUGCUUUGCCCUGCAGGGUUCCUCCUUCACUAGUUGGAGCUUCUUGUAUUUCACCGGUAAUCCCACAUCCUGCACCUUCACAGCUUCACCCCCGUAUGUGCUAAACGAGGUUAAGACAAAAUGACGUAAGACUGCAUUGGAGAACUCACAAACGUACCAAAGGAGAUGUUAAAGUACAACAAAACAGCUGCAGCUUUAAGUAGAAGUAAAUGUAUUAGAAAGCGCAACGCGUUAACUUCUCCAUUAAGACGAGUUGUCACCUUCGAGACAAGGUUAGCGUCUCAUCACAGAUCUUCACCUCAUGACCUACACACACACACACCUCUUGAUUAGCAGAGCUUCACACAUUUCCUCACUUGUUUGACGUUUUGGAGAAGCUACGAGGCUAACGGAGCUAAUUCAGUAGCACCUAGCUUAGCCGGCUAACGGACUCUCUGAUGCCACUUUUGGCACAGUGAAGUUAAGAGGCCAGAUCUGAAAAAACGCCCCGACCCGGAUUCGUUUGACAGGACGCGAACAGCUACGUUCGCUUUGACUAGACGGAACGUAGUUGAACUGUGAGGCCGAGACACUUCGCUGAGAGGGUGUAACGACAGGUAGCUUAGCUUAGCUUGGUUAGCCUGUGGGGGAAAGCCAAGCUACUUGAUGAGCGUUGUUACCAGUUAACGUCCAAUUGGUGCAAUGACACGUCGACGCGUGGUGUGUAUUUCUGUUACUAAACGGCCGCCGCAGGUGUGUAAAGGCCCGCAAAGGCCACAGCGUCACAUAAGUUACGAGCAAAGCCAAGUCCACCACUUCGGGCUAACUACGCACCGAGCUAACGGCUAACGGCUAACAGCUAACGCCAACGACAACAACAGGCAUCUUCUCCUGAACGUCCGGCUAGCUUUAGCUUUAGCCGAUCCCCAUCAUCCGUCCCGGGGGUUUUGGCAGCAGGUGUCCCGGAUCCCCAAAGGAAGCCGGCCAGUUUGGUGACGGAGACGCCGCCUUUGAUCCACAGCGUGUCGAUGUCGCCGAGCGACGUCAGCCGGUGGUGGAAGUCGAACAGCUUCUGCCCGUCCACGAACACACGGAACCGACUUUGUUCACAGUGAAUCUCAAUCUGGGAGAAGAGGAGAGACCCAUUUGACAUUUAACGUGACACCCGAGAGGACUCGUCAGACGUCUUCCCCUCAGGUAAACUAAAGCGUCACAUCACAGCAUCAAGCUGUGGGAUUCAGAUGUUAACGUGUUGGGAGAACAAAAUGUUAAUGAGAUCAAAAAAUGGAGACUUGGACAUCGACAACAUACAGUUCAAUUAUUGUUCAAUACACAAAGAUUUUCUGGUUUUAUACGAGCAAAAUAUUGAAUUGAAGAGUUUUUUUUAACAGUUUAUGUGGAAUAAUAAUGGGUGAUCACACGGAGUGGAGGCGUGCUGAAGUAACCGAUAAUACGUUUGUAACACGGCUGGCGCCUCUCUGGGACGCCGAAGAGGCUGUUGGUACCUUGAACGGCUGGCCGGCGAUGAAGGGGAAGAACGGCGCGGCUCGGUCGGCGUCCCCCCAGCAGCCGGCCACGCAGGCCCUGCGCAGGACCUGCCGGUCCCGGAACCGGACGCAGAGCUCCAGGGCCACGUCGGGGGGAGGCUCCGCGGAUCCAAUGCCGCAUGUCAGGGCCACGUGGAACCUAAAGGACGAGAACCGGACGUGACAUCGGCGUCGCUCAGAUGCUUCUUCAAUUAUGUCAAUAAGCUGAGUUUGACAUUUGGCUUUGUGUGAUGAUUGAGUUGUGAGGGAAAGUUGCAUGGAUGUAUUUUACCUGUCAGGACACGAGUCGACAACACCAACCACGACCACCUUCUUACCUGGACGCAUCCCACCAGGGAUGUGACCUCUGAAAGGAACCGCCUGAACACACACACACACACGCACAUUUGCAUGAAAAUACAUGGAUCUAACAAAGAUGUGAUUUCACAAUGGAAGUAAAAUUAAGUGGAGAUCAUUAGCAACAUUUACAUACAAUUUUAAAAAGAUUAACACAGUAUGUUCUGUAUACUUUUCAAUAUACCGGGUUCAGGGAAAAAUAAUUGCGUUUGAAUAUUUUGAGACGAGUGGCUACCAGAUUUCUCUCAGGAGGACGAACACUUGGUUUAUCUUCAUCACUUCUCUGUGGAACGACCCACUUCUGAAAGGAAAAGCAACAACACGUGUAUUAGCUGGUGUUUGUGCCGAAGUGGAAAGGCCGGGGGGGUCAACAAAAUCAUUAGGAUUCAUCCAGGGAAAGAACAUCUAGCGUUCUAACCAGGGUGUACGAUGCACAUAUAAAAAAAUAAAAAUAAAUGCAGCGCCUCUAAA